RNAcentral lists this ribosomal RNA (253 nucleotides) under uncultured bacterium. Its description in RNAcentral is "partial 16S ribosomal RNA". It matches the Rfam family "Bacterial small subunit ribosomal RNA", at positions 524 to 776 of the family's 1533-position model. The record is from RNAcentral.
UACGGAGGGUGCGAACGUUAAUCGGAAUUACUGGGCGUAAAGCGCGCGUAGGUGGUUCGGCAAGUGGGAUGUGAAAGCCCCGGGCUCAACCUGGGAAUUGCAUUCCAAACUAUCGAGCUAGAGUAUGGUAGAGGGAGGUAGAAUUUCCUGUGUAGCGGUGAAAUGCGUAGAUAUAGGAAGGAAUACCGGUGGCGAAGGCGGCCUCCUGGACCAAUACUGACACUGAGGUGCGAAAGCGUGGGGAGCAAACAGG